Molecule: long non-coding RNA, 306 nt
Filed under: Brassica napus (rape)
Lineage: Eukaryota; Viridiplantae; Streptophyta; Magnoliopsida; Brassicales; Brassicaceae
Description: long non-coding RNA (BNAP_LNC025457)
Source: RNAcentral
AUCACCUCCUUCAUCUCUCUGUUGAGACCAAUAUAGAAAAUCCGUUCCAAGUGAUGAUCAUCCAGUCCCAAAACCUGAGCUGAUAAAUCUUCAAACUCCGAUACGUAAUCAGCUACAGAACCAGUUUGCCUGAUAGAAAACAAGCGCGUGCUCGGCUCAUCCUCAAUAGAUUCAGAGAAGCGCACAAACAAGCUCUGUUUGAAAUCCUUCCAACUCCUAAAGCCACCACGAUGCAUCACCCACGCAAACCACUUCUUCAAAGCACCUUUCAAACAUAGCGGAACCAGAUCCAAUCUCGCCUCCUCA